RNAcentral lists this transfer RNA (84 nucleotides) under Prevotellaceae bacterium. Its description in RNAcentral is "tRNA-Leu". It matches the Rfam family "tRNA". Rfam says of the family: Transfer RNA (tRNA) molecules are approximately 80 nucleotides in length. Their secondary structure includes four short double-helical elements and three loops (D, anti-codon, and T loops). Further hydrogen bonds mediate the characteristic L-shaped molecular structure. tRNAs have two regions of fundamental functional importance: the anti-codon, which is responsible for specific mRNA codon recognition, and the 3' end, to which the tRNAs corresponding amino acid is attached (by aminoacyl-tRNA synthetases). tRNAs cope with the degeneracy of the genetic code in two manners: having more than one tRNA (with a specific anti-codon) for a particular amino acid; and 'wobble' base-pairing, i.e. permitting non-standard base-pairing at the 3rd anti-codon position. Lineage: Bacteria; Pseudomonadati; Bacteroidota; Bacteroidia; Bacteroidales; Prevotellaceae. The record is from RNAcentral.
GCCCAAAUGGUGGAAUUGGUAGACACGCUAGUUUCAGGGACUAGUGGACGCAAGUCUGUGCAGGUUCGAGUCCUGUUUUGGGUA